This 23-nucleotide microRNA is filed under the name Gadus morhua (Atlantic cod). Its description in RNAcentral is "gmo-miR-27c-5p". Its record names the gene gmo-miR-27c-5p. Lineage: Eukaryota; Metazoa; Chordata; Actinopteri; Gadiformes; Gadidae. The record is from miRBase by way of RNAcentral.
AGGACUUAACACGCAUGUGAACA